GAGUAACACGUGGAUAACCUACCUAUAAGACUGGGAUAACUUCGGGAAACCGGAGCUAAUACCGGAUAAUAUUUUGAACCGCAUGGUUCAAAAGUGAAAGACGGUCUUGCUGUCACUUAUAGAUGGAUCCGCGCUGCAUUAGCUAGUUGGUAAGGUAACGGCUUACCAAGGCAACGAUGCAUAGCCGACCUGAGAGGGUGAUCGGCCACACUGGAACUGAGACACGGUCCAGACUCCUACGGGAGGCAGCAGUAGGGAAUCUUCCGCAAUGGGCGAAAGCCUGACGGAGCAACGCCGCGUGAGUGAUGAAGGUCUUCGGAUCGUAAAACUCUGUUAUUAGGGAAGAACAUAUGUGUAAGUAACUGUGCACAUCUUGACGGUACCUAAUCAGAAAGCCACGGCUAACUACGUGCCAGCAGCCGCGGUAAUACGUAGGUGGCAAGCGUUAUCCGGAAUUAUUGGGCGUAAAGCGCGCGUAGGCGGUUUUUUAAGUCUGAUGUGAAAGCCCACGGCUCAACCGUGGAGGGUCAUUGGAAACUGGAAAACUUGAGUGCAGAAGAGGAAAGUGGAAUUCCAUGUGUAGCGGUGAAAUGCGCAGAGAUAUGGAGGAACACCAGUGGCGAAGGCGACUUUCUGGUCUGUAACUGACGCUGAUGUGCGAAAGCGUGGGGAUCAAACAGGAUUAGAUACCCUGGUAGUCCACGCCGUAAACGAUGAGUGCUAAGUGUUAGGGGGUUUCCGCCCCUUAGUGCUGCAGCUAACGCAUUAAGCACUCCGCCUGGGGAGUACGACCGCAAGGUUGAAACUCAAAGGAAUUGACGGGGACCCGCACAAGCGGUGGAGCAUGUGGUUUAAUUCGAAGCAACGCGAAGAACCUUACCAAAUCUUGACAUCCUUUGACAACUCUAGAGAUAGAGCCUUCCCCUUCGGGGGACAAAGUGACAGGUGGUGCAUGGUUGUCGUCAGCUCGUGUCGUGAGAUGUUGGGUUAAGUCCCGCAACGAGCGCAACCCUUAAGCUUAGUUGCCAUCAUUAAGUUGGGCACUCUAAGUUGACUGCCGGUGACAAACCGGAGGAAGGUGGGGAUGACGUCAAAUCAUCAUGCCCCUUAUGAUUUGGGCUACACACGUGCUACAAUGGACAAUACAAAGGGCAGCGAAACCGCGAGGUCAAGCAAAUCCCAUAAAGUUGUUCUCAGUUCGGAUUGUAGUCUGCAACUCGACUACAUGAAGCUGGAAUCGCUAGUAAUCGUAGAUCAGCAUGCUACGGUGAAUACGUUCCCGGGUCUUGUACACACCGCCCGUCACACCACGAGAGUUUGUAACACCCGAAGCCGGUGGAGUAACCUUUUAGGAGCUAGCCGUCGAAGGUGGGACAAAUGAUUGGGGUGAAGUCGUAACAAGGUAGCCGUAUCGGAAGGUGCGGCUG
Molecule: ribosomal RNA, 1427 nt
Filed under: Staphylococcus aureus
Lineage: Bacteria; Bacillati; Bacillota; Bacilli; Caryophanales; Staphylococcaceae
Also listed under: 1 other name
Description: bacterial SSU rRNA
Rfam family: Bacterial small subunit ribosomal RNA
Source: RNAcentral